Molecule: ribosomal RNA, 270 nt
Filed under: uncultured bacterium
Lineage: Bacteria
Description: partial 16S ribosomal RNA
Rfam family: Bacterial small subunit ribosomal RNA
Source: RNAcentral
UACGUAGGGUGCGAGCGUUAAUCGGAAUUACUGGGCGUAAAGCGUGCGCAGGCGGUUCGCCAAGUCAGGUGUGAAAUCCCCGGGCUUAACCUGGGAAUUGCGCUUGAAACUAGCGGGCUAGAGUGUGGCAGAGGGGGGUGGAAUUCCACGUGUAGCAGUGAAAUGCGUAGAGAUGUGGAGGAACACCGAUGGCGAAGGCAGCCCCUGGGUCAACACUGACGCUCAGGCACGAAAGCGUGGGGAGCAAACAGGAUUAGAUACCCCUGUAGU